GAGGGUAUAGCUCAGUGGUAGAGUGUGUGCUUAGCAUGCAUGAAGUCCUGGGUUCAAUCCCCAGUACCUGCA
Molecule: transfer RNA, 72 nt
Filed under: Camelus bactrianus (Bactrian camel)
Lineage: Eukaryota; Metazoa; Chordata; Mammalia; Artiodactyla; Camelidae
Also listed under: 2 other names
Rfam family: tRNA
About the family: Transfer RNA (tRNA) molecules are approximately 80 nucleotides in length. Their secondary structure includes four short double-helical elements and three loops (D, anti-codon, and T loops).
Source: Rfam by way of RNAcentral